Molecule: ribosomal RNA, 399 nt
Filed under: uncultured bacterium
Lineage: Bacteria
Description: partial 16S ribosomal RNA
Rfam family: Bacterial small subunit ribosomal RNA
Source: RNAcentral
CAUAUUGCACAAUCGGCGAAAGCCUGAUUCAGCCACGCCGCGUGAGUGAUGAAGGCCUUCGGGUCGUAUAGCUCUUUGAUCAGGGAUGAUAAUGACAGUCCCUGACAAACAAGCCACGGCUAACUACGUGCCAGCAGCCGCGGUAAUACGUAUGUGGCGAGCGUUGUCCGGAAUUACUGGGCGUAAAGGAUGCGUAGGUGGAUACUUAAGUGGGAAGUGAAAUCCGCGGGCCCAAACCGGGAACUGCAUUCCAAACUGGGUAUCGAGAGUGCAGGAGAGGAAAGCGGAAUUCCUAAUGUAGCGGUGAAAUGCGUAGAUAUUAGGAGGAACACCAGUGGCGAAGGCGGCUUUCUGGACUGUAACUGACACUGAGGCAUGAAAGCGUGGGUAGCAAACAGG